Mercenaria mercenaria is the source of this 730-nucleotide long non-coding RNA. RefSeq lists it as uncharacterized. Lineage: Eukaryota; Metazoa; Mollusca; Bivalvia; Venerida; Veneridae. The record is from RefSeq and is a predicted model, not a curated record. The transcript is spliced from 4 exons.
CGUAGUAACGUAUGAUAAGCUACUUAAUUAUUUUUAAAGAAUUACAAGUGCAAUAGACGAAAAUGAGAUAGAAAGGAAAUGUAACCACAUUGCCUUUCUCGCCAUUUACAUUUCAGAAACAUGAUGACAUUCCUUGUAGCUGUUUUGGUAGCCGUCCUCCUGGCCGCUCAAGCUUUAUCUGAAGAAGACUGGAUCAAGCAACCCCGGGAUGUUAAUAACAACGAGGAGGUGGCCAGCAAUGAGUCGACUGGGUCGGAACAUCAGAUGGAUAAUUCUGGCAGUUUCAACACAAUCUUUGUAUCACUGAUGUUGGCAUCACUCGUUGUGGCUCGCCUGGCUCGUCGUUAGUCGGCAGAUAAAGGAUGAAGAACGGAUAUUCCAACUACACAAGUGAGAAUACAUUAAAAUGCUAUCAACUCUUUAAAAAGACACUAAAUAUUGUAUUCGGAUCAUUCCAAUUAAUGUUAUUUGUUUUACUUUCUAUGACAAUUCAAUUCAUACGAACCACUGAAGUGUGUAUGCGGGAGGUUCGCGCUAGCGACAAUGGUGUAGUUAAGAAUCACUGGUUACAACUUGAAACGGUAUUCUACUGAGAAUACGAUAUUCAGGGAUUUUUGAGUUGAAGCACAAAUCACGAUCAGUUCGGAUAUUUUCUCACAUUUUUCGUAGCUUUUACUAUCAACAGGUAAGGAGCAGAAAGUGAUUAUAAAGAAAACGGCGACCAAGCACA